This 74-nucleotide transfer RNA is filed under the name Muribaculaceae bacterium. RNAcentral describes it as "tRNA-Ala". It matches the Rfam family "tRNA". Rfam says of the family: Transfer RNA (tRNA) molecules are approximately 80 nucleotides in length. Lineage: Bacteria; Pseudomonadati; Bacteroidota; Bacteroidia; Bacteroidales; Muribaculaceae. The record is from RNAcentral.
ACAGCAGUAGCUCAGAUGGUAGAGCAAGCCCCCUCGCCCGGGGCCGCGCGCCGGUUCAAGUCCGGCCUGCUGUC